This 453-nucleotide ribosomal RNA is filed under the name uncultured Bifidobacterium sp. Its description in RNAcentral is "bacterial SSU rRNA". It matches the Rfam family "Bacterial small subunit ribosomal RNA", at positions 173 to 640 of the family's 1533-position model. The record is from RNAcentral. Lineage: Bacteria; Bacillati; Actinomycetota; Actinomycetes; Bifidobacteriales; Bifidobacteriaceae.
CUCCAGUUGGAUGCAUGUCCUUCUGGGAAAGAUUCAUCGGUAUGGGAUGGGGUCGCGUCCUAUCAGCUUGAUGGCGGGGUAACGGCCCACCAUGGCUUCGACGGGUAGCCGGCCUGAGAGGGCGACCGGCCACAUUGGGACUGAGAUACGGCCCAGACUCCUACGGGAGGCAGCAGUGGGGAAUAUUGCACAAUGGGCGCAAGCCUGAUGCAGCGACGCCGCGUGCGGGAUGACGGCCUUCGGGUUGUAAACCGCUUUUGACUGGGAGCAAGCCCUUCGGGGUGAGUGUACCUUUCGAAUAAGCACCGGCUAACUACGUGCCAGCAGCCGCGGUAAUACGUAGGGUGCAAGCGUUAUCCGGAAUUAUUGGGCGUAAAGGGCUCGUAGGCGGUUCGUCGCGUCCGGUGUGAAAGUCCAUCGCCUAACGGUGGAUCCGCGCCGGGUACGGGCGGG